UCUGGUAAAGGUGCUGGCUGGCAGCCUCCCGAGCCUGCAGAUCCUCCACAACGCUUGUCUCCAUAAAGGACCAGAUUUCCUGAUGUCUGCUGAGCACCUCUGAGCUUGCCGCAGACAUGAUUGUAACCCAUUUCCCUCUCAUUGUUGAGGGUGCCACUGGCACAGCCCUGUCCCAGCCUCUGUAGGGGAGGCAGCCGGGUGGGAGAGGUGGUGGGGAGGACAGGACUUAAUGUGAAAUGCUUAUAAUAUAAUGACAUUAUACAAACCUGGCAGAUGUGGAUCGUGGAAUGACUUCUUCGGAAUGGUCUGAUUACUUUUAGAUUAGCAGAUGAAGUAAUCAGUGUAACAGGCCACACCUAUCCUUUUUAUUCCUGGCCAUCUGAAAACCCCGAUAGUUGGCAGUGGCUCCCCUCUGUCACUGGGGAGGCAGUAGGGGAGAGAAGAGAGUAGAGAAUGCACUGAGAGCAGGACAGGGGCACACCAGGGCAGUUCUGGCAAAGCUGAACGAAGCACUGAAGGAUAACAACAUAAGCACUUAUGUUAAAGUAUUUAAAGGGUUCUGCGUUUCUUAAAAUGAACUAAGGUUGUUUGGGUAAUAACCCAAGCACUGUUUACAUAGAAAGCUGUUCUCGGAUUUAAUGGGAAACAUAUCUGGUUUUGAUUUCUGAAAGUAUUUGUUAGCAAAAUUGCUGCCAGGAGACCAAGCCAGUCCUGGAAUGCAAGGAAGUAGGGCUCUUGGUUUUCUAGAAAUGAGGAGUGCUGCCCAAGGGCAGGCCUGGAGAGCAGUCAUCUGGAGAUUGAUCCCAUUACAGUCCAGGAGGUGGGCGUGGCUCACAGGGAACUCAUGUUAACCCUUAACUCGGAAAACCUGGAACUGCAUGGAAGACCUGGCCAGCUUGGAAUGGAAGGGUUGGCCUGGCUUGGAUUUUCUAUAAUAAUUAUGGCUACCUUGCUCCUAACGUUCUUCAUUUCAGCACGGAGGAAACUAUAUGUAAUCAAUUAAGAUCAUAGCCUCGGAAUUAGAGAGACCUGGUUCAGAUCCCACGUCCCCCACUUGUCUUAGUUCAGAGGUUCUCGAUCUUGACUGUAUGUUAGAAUCACGCAGGGAGCUCUCAAACUCCGCACACCCAGGCUGCAUCCUAGAGCAAGUUAUAAUCGCUGGGAGUAGAGCACAGAUGUGGGUAUUUUUUGAAAGUAUCCCCCUGCCCCAGGAACGAAUAGCCAUAUUGGGAAUUAAUGGUCAGGUGAGACCAUGGAGAAGUUGACUAGCUCAGUAGCUGUGCUUCCUCAUCUGUGAAGUGAGGAAAUAUUAUCUAACACGUUCAAAGGCUGUUAAAUCGAGUUAUUUACCCAUAUCUUCAGAAAAAAAUCACCACUUCUACUGUCGUGAUAAACAACCUGCUUCCCUAUUUAUAAUGGUCUGGCCCUCUAGCAACUUCAGCGCGAAAUUAUAGCUAAUUUGCCUACAAAAGUCAGGUGGUCAUAAUAAUCUGGCCACUCAGUGUAUGGUUCCUGGGAAGAUAAAAAGAGAUAGUAAGUGCCAGGUGCUCAGUCCAGUGCCCAGCACAUAGCAAAUGCUCCAGAAACAGCACCCUCAUCAGUACUCAGCUUCACCAUAAAUGAAAACUCCUGAAAUGCAGAUGGGAUAUUUGUCACAUCCAUGAAAAAAGGCUCUGGGGGCAGUUUUGCAUUUUUUUGAGACAGACAGACAGACAGACUGUCCUCUCUCCUGCAGUGGUGUUGCUGAAGAGGGUUCAGAGUCGGAGCCCCUGCUGGGUAGGUCUGCUCAGGGCAGCCAUGCUGCACUGUCUGACUUCCUCAGAUGCAGGCACACCCAACUCCAUUUGCAGUGACAGAGACAGGUGAUCUUUUAUUUUCAAUCUUUAAUUUCUGAGGUCCUCCCUCUCCUUUGCCUAGGUAUUGCUGCUUGAAUUGAUCCGAUUAUAGAGUGUCCAGAUAAUAAAAUAUGAGUAAAGUUCGGGUAAUCUAUCUCUAAUCUUCUACCUAAAACAUCUGGAACAGUUCAUUCCCAAGUGAUUGCUGAGAUGGUGUCUCUAGAAGUCAAGAAUGCAGACUGGCCUCUGUGCCUAUGAUUCUGUUCUCAUUCACUGAUGUGAAAUCAUGUCUACUUAUGAGAUAGUAAUCUGUGUCUGUAUCAUCUCCAAAAAUAUUAAUUAUAACAAAUUAAUACCUUGUAUCUGGGUUAGCAAUUCUGCUCUCAGAACAUCACCACUCCCAACUUCACCUUAGUACCAAUUCCCACACAUCUGUAACCCCAGAGCCUGGUUCAGGGGGUUAUGCUGAGGCCAGAUGUUCACCACUGUGCUGAGGUAUGUGUGGGACACUGCAAUGAUGAGGGCUCAUUCCCAGAGUGAAAUAGAGUUUAUAGCACCUCCGUGAGGCUGCGAGAAACCACGAAUGCAUGGUCUUCAGAACUCAGGAGCUCUGGGUUAGGAUCCUAGGUCAGUACUUGGACACUGAGCCUCAGUUUCCUCAUCUGUAAAAUGGUAACAGUGGUGCUCAUUUCCCAGGGUGGUAUGUGGUAAAGGUUAAAAUAAUAUAAAUAAUAUAUAUGUCUUGUCCAUGCUAAGUGCUCAGUAGUGUAGAUUAAUAUAUUAAUAUUAUGUCCAACGUGCAUAAUGUAUUUCAUAUACAAUGUUAUAUAUUAUAAUUAAUAUGUUAUCAUUAAGAGACAAGUCAUUCAUGUUUUACAAUUAAAAUUUUUUCGCCCUCUUUUUGAUAAGGUAUAAUUUUAUAUUCAUAGAUGGUACUGAUUUUUCUCUGAGGCUUGGGAACUUGUCUCAGGGAGUUGCAAGAUAUGAUAAAAGUCUGUGAGGGAUUGCAAGCAGUUCUCCUUGUGAAAAAGUGACUUUAGGAGGAAAAUACAAGACUCUCCUGGACACGGCAGACACAGUUCUGGAUUGGAACUUUGCAUGAACACAAAGCCUUUGACCGGAUGUCACCUAAAAUGAUCCUGCUUUAUAUUUCUCAGGCUAGCCAAGCCUUUUACAAAAGUAACCUGAUAGCUUAUCAAUAGUUCCUGAUUGACCAAUGGAGAAAAUAAACCACAGAAUGAUUAUGGCCCAACAAUUCAGCAAGAGCAACUGAAGUGAAAAUCACACCCACCUUUCACCCCUCUAGCUCCACACCUGGGGUUUAUUGGGCCCUCGUGGCACAACUGUUUACCGCAGCAUUAGUUAUAACAUUGCAUACCCGGAAACACCACCAGUGUCUAUGUACAGGGGAGUGGGUGUGUGAAUUGUGCCAUGAUAACACAGUGUAAUCUUAUGCAACUUGUAAAACUAUCAUUUGAAUUUGCAUAUGCUGAUAUGGAAAUAUAUCCAAGAUAUAUUAAGUGGAAAAUGUAGAUGUGAAAUAGAAUGUACAGCAUGACCCCACUUGGGUUAAUUAUUUUAAAAAGAUAUUCCUGAAAGUUACAUAAGAAACUGUUUACAAUUAUUUUAUUUAGGGAAUGGCCAGGGUUGGAGAGGGGAAAACUUAUUUUCACUUUAUAUUCUACUGUAGUGUUAGACUUUUAAAAAAGAACAUGUCUGUAUUUUGCUUUCAUUUUACAAUUAAAUUUUACUUACAUACUUUUAAAAUUUAA
This is a long non-coding RNA of Myotis myotis, 3607 nucleotides long. RefSeq lists it as uncharacterized. The transcript has 2 exons. Lineage: Eukaryota; Metazoa; Chordata; Mammalia; Chiroptera; Vespertilionidae. The record is from RefSeq and is a predicted model, not a curated record.